CCUACGGGAGGCAGCAGUGAGGAAUAUUGGUCAAUGGACGAGAGUCUGAACCAGCCAAGUAGCGUGAAGGAUGACUGCCCUCUGGGUUGUAAACUUCUUUUAUAAAGGAAUAAAACGAGGCUCGUGUGCCUUUUUGCAUGUACUUUAUGAAUAAGGAUCGGCUAACUCCGUGCCAUCAGCCGAGGUAAUACGGAGGAUCCGCGCGUUGUCCGGAUUUAUUGGGUUUAAAGGGAGCGGAGAGGGGGUGUUAAGUCAGUUGUGAAAGUUUGCGGCUCAACCGUGAAAUUGCAGUUGAGACUGGCAGUCUUGAGUACAGAUGAGGUAGGCGGAAUUCGUGGUGUAGCGGUGAAAUGCUUAGAUAUCACGAAGAACCCCGAUUGCGAAGGCAGCUUACUAAACUGUGACUGACAUUGAUGCUCGAAAGUGUGGGUAUCAAACAGGAUUAGAUACCCCAGUAGUC
This 460-nucleotide ribosomal RNA is filed under the name uncultured bacterium. Its description in RNAcentral is "partial 16S ribosomal RNA". It matches the Rfam family "Bacterial small subunit ribosomal RNA", at positions 338 to 795 of the family's 1533-position model. The record is from RNAcentral.